This 252-nucleotide ribosomal RNA is filed under the name uncultured bacterium. RNAcentral's name for it is "partial 16S ribosomal RNA". It matches the Rfam family "Bacterial small subunit ribosomal RNA", at positions 524 to 776 of the family's 1533-position model. The record is from RNAcentral.
CACGUAGGGCGCAAGCGUUGUCCGGAAUUAUUGGGCGUAAAGAGCUCGUAGGCGGUCUGUUGCGUCCGCUGUGAAAACUCGGGGCUUAACCCCGAGCCUGCAGUGGAUACGGGCAGACUAGAGGUAGGUAGGGGAGAAUGGAAUUCCCGGUGUAGCGGUGAAAUGCGCAGAUAUCGGAAGAACACCAGUGGCGAAGGCGACUUACUGGACACAUAUUGACGCUGAGGUGCGAAAGCGUGGGGAGCAAACAGG